AUGUGUAAUGAAACAUGAAGACGUCAAGUAUAAAGGAUGGCAAUUGCUCAGACUUGUCCUUUGCUUGUCUGGUUAUCCAUCAAACACUAUCAGUGUGAUUGUGCCAGAAAGUUUCAUGAUCAAAAAUCAGCACUGGGAUGUCUGCUUGCACUAUUCCCAGGUUUGCUUCCUUGGUUCUUCAUAUCAUCCAGACCCCUGAACUGGAAAUAUCUUGUUAACUCUGCACUGUUUAAUAUUCUUUGGAAAUUAAACUACUUGGGCAUGUUUAGAGCUCAAAUGGAAUCUAUGCAUUUUGCUUGACAAGGUCGUUGGUUGCUUUUUAGAGCUUACAUAUUGAAAAUCAUG
Homo sapiens (human) is the source of this 345-nucleotide long non-coding RNA. The record is from Ensembl. Lineage: Eukaryota; Metazoa; Chordata; Mammalia; Primates; Hominidae.